CGGACAGGUGAGUAAUGUCUGGGAAACUGCCCGAUGGAGGGGGAUAACUACUGGAAACGGUAGCUAAUACCGCAUAACGUCGCAAGACCAAAGAGGGGGACCUUCGGGCCUCUUGCCAUCGGAUGUGCCCAGAUGGGAUUAGCUAGUAGGUGGGGUAGCGGCUCACCUAGGCGACGAUCCCUAGCUGGUCUGAGAGGAUGACCAGCCACACUGGAACUGAGACACGGUCCAG
Molecule: ribosomal RNA, 232 nt
Filed under: uncultured bacterium
Lineage: Bacteria
Description: partial 16S ribosomal RNA
Rfam family: Bacterial small subunit ribosomal RNA
Source: RNAcentral